AGAGAGAGACAUGCGCGCAUAUCAAUAAGCGGAGGAAAAGAAACUAACAAGGAUUCCCCUAGUAACGGCGAGUGAAGCGGGAAGAGCUCAAAUUUGAAAUCUUAAAGGGUUUCCCUUUACGGAUUGUAGUUUAAAGAAGUGUUUUCCUGUUGAGGUUUUGGUAAAAGUUCUUUGGAAUAGGACAUCAUAGAGGGUGAGAAUCCCGUAUUUGAUCACUUUCUACUAAUCUUUGUGAUACACUUUCAACGAGUCGGAUUGUUUGGGAAUGCAGUCCAAAAUGGGUGGUAAAUUUCAUCUAAAGCUAAAUAUUGGCGAGAGACCGAUAGCGAACAAGUACCGUGAGGGAAAGAUGAAAAGAACUUUGAAAAGAGAGUUAAACAGUACGUGAAAUUGUCAAAAGGGAAGCGUUUGACACCAGUGUUGUUUUUCUGAAAAUCAAUUAAAGAACUGUUUAUGCUAAGCUGUUUAGACUUUAUCAGCUAACUGUUUAGUUUUGAGCUUUUCUUUAAUGCACUUUUCAGUUAACAAGUCAACAUCAAUUUCUUUUGCUGUAAAAAAGCUUGAGGAAGGUGGCUUGAGAUUCGUCUUAAGUGUUUAUAGCCUCUUGCCUAUGCAGUCGGAGAGAUUGAGGUCUGCAGCGUAGAUCCUUCGGGGCUAAAUGCAUUUGUGCUAAGUUAUAGCAUUUUAUAGACAACUUGUUGACUAUGAUUUGUCUUGUAGCUUACUCGCUUAUGUUAUUUUACCUACGCUUAGGAUGUUGACGCAUGAGAUAUACGC
This 777-nucleotide ribosomal RNA is filed under the name uncultured Neocallimastigales. RNAcentral's name for it is "partial large subunit ribosomal RNA". It matches the Rfam family "Eukaryotic large subunit ribosomal RNA", at positions 23 to 647 of the family's 3401-position model. Lineage: Eukaryota; Fungi; Neocallimastigomycota; Neocallimastigomycetes; Neocallimastigales. The record is from RNAcentral.